Molecule: non-coding RNA, 24 nt
Filed under: Gossypium hirsutum (cotton)
Lineage: Eukaryota; Viridiplantae; Streptophyta; Magnoliopsida; Malvales; Malvaceae
Source: RNAcentral
GGCCAUCAAGAGUGCCUUCGAGAG